UUAUGCAUACUUGCAGACUCAUUAAGCACGUUUUUCUUGGAAUACAUUAUUUUGUUGAAAUCUGCAUCAUGUUUUCUUUUUCGACAAUGGCUGUGUAUGCCUGUUUAAUGUUGUACAUUAUUGGCUGUCCGAAUCAUUUGUAUUUCAUGUCGGCAUCCGGCGGCGUGGAGGCCCGGGAGUUAUCGUUUAAUAAGACGAAACUGCCUGGGCCCAUCCCAAAGAUCAAUGCAACAGUCUCGAAGGAUCCUCCACUGCCAGCUGCUCGAGAUAAAUUAUUGGAGAGGAAAAAGCGGCAAUUUUUCCCAACAGGAGUCAGAUCUCCCUGGGGUGUAGGGAGAGAGGUUCAGGGAUUUCUAUGGGGUUACAUAUUAAGCCAGCUUUUGCAGACGUCAUCAUCUUCAUCUUCGUCCAGUGGAUAACGGAUAUCUUUAUGGAUAUACAACAGUGCUCUGUAGUACAAUAUAAAUAACAUCCAUAUUCGC
Long non-coding RNA from Paramacrobiotus metropolitanus, 482 nucleotides. RefSeq lists it as uncharacterized. The transcript is spliced from 3 exons. The record is from RefSeq and is a predicted model, not a curated record. Lineage: Eukaryota; Metazoa; Tardigrada; Eutardigrada; Parachela; Macrobiotidae.